Molecule: ribosomal RNA, 497 nt
Filed under: uncultured bacterium
Lineage: Bacteria
Description: partial 16S ribosomal RNA
Rfam family: Bacterial small subunit ribosomal RNA
Source: RNAcentral
GACGAACGCUGGCGGCGUGCCUAAUACAUGCAAGUAGAACGCUGAAGAGAGGAGCUUGCUCUUCUUGGAUGAGUUGCGAACGGGUGAGUAACGCGUAGGUAACCUGCCUUGUAGCGGGGGAUAACUAUUGGAAACGAUAGCUAAUACCGCAUAACAAUGGAUGACACAUGUCAUUUAUUUGAAAGGGGCAAUUGCUCCACUACAAGAUGGACCUGCGUUGUAUUAGCUAGUAGGUGAGGUAACGGCUCACCUAGGCGACGAUACAUAGCCGACCUGAGAGGGUGAUCGGCCACACUGGGACUGAGACCCGGCCCAGACUCCUACGGGAGGCAGCAGUAGGGAAUCUUCGGCAAUGGGGGCAACCCUGACCGAGCAACGCCGCGUGAGUGAAGAAGGUUUUCGGAUCGUAAAGCUCUGUUGUAAGUCAAGAACGAGUGUGAGAGUGGAAAGUUCACACUGUGACGGUAGCUUACCAGAAAGGGACGGCUAACUACGUG